Long non-coding RNA from Chrysoperla carnea, 487 nucleotides. RefSeq lists it as uncharacterized. The transcript is spliced from 3 exons. NCBI's taxonomy places the organism in Eukaryota, Metazoa, Arthropoda, Insecta, Neuroptera, Chrysopidae. The record is from RefSeq and is a predicted model, not a curated record.
AGUACUUUUUGCAUUAUAAUAUGUAUAUAUAUAUAUUUACGCUAUGGAUAAAGAUACAAAUUCUUAGGGGACAUCCAUAAAUUACGUAACACAUUUUGAAGAUUUUUUAGACUCCCCCCCCCUGGUAUGUAACAGAUCGUAACAAAUUACCAGACCCCCCUACCCCUGAAGGAUUUGUUACGUAACAUAAUCAUUUUGUCUCAACAGAAAAAGUUCUUGAAUUAUUUAAAUUUAAAUUUAUUGCACAAAACAAUUGCUACAUAUUUAGUUUAUUAAUUAAAGAAGUAAUAUGAAAAAUUAACGUUCAUUUUUUUUGAGCAAAAUCAUCUUCCCAACUGGGUUUGAACUAGUCGGUUAUCGAGUCAAUUACAGGAAUUUUUGAAUUAUCUAAUUCAAGAAGUGGUGUCGUUUCUUUGUCGUCUUCCUCUAUAUCAUCAACAUCUAUCCAUUCCACGUCAUCAAAUUCAUUAUUAUUAAUCAUACAUAG